RNAcentral lists this ribosomal RNA (772 nucleotides) under uncultured bacterium. RNAcentral's name for it is "bacterial SSU rRNA". It matches the Rfam family "Bacterial small subunit ribosomal RNA", at positions 60 to 826 of the family's 1533-position model. The record is from RNAcentral.
AGUCGAGGGGCAGCAUGACCUAGCAAUAGGUUGAUGGCGACCGGCGCACGGGUGAGUAACACGUAUCCAACCUGCCGAUUAUUCCGGGAUAGCCUUUCGAAAGAAAGAUUAAUACUGGAUAGCAUAACGAGAAGGCAUCUUCUUGUUAUUAAAGAAUUUCGAUAAUCGAUGGGGAUGCGUUCCAUUAGUUUGUUGGCGGGGUAACGGCCCACCAAGACAUCGAUGGAUAGGGGUUCUGAGAGGAAGGUCCCCCACAUUGGAACUGAGACACGGUCCAAACUCCUACGGGAGGCAGCAGUGAGGAAUAUUGGUCAAUGGACGAGAGUCUGAACCAGCCAAGUAGCGUGAAGGAUGACUGCCCUAUGGGUUGUAAACUUCUUUUAUAUGGGAAUAAAGUGAGCCACGUGUGGCUUUUUGUAUGUACCAUACGAAUAAGGAUCGGCUAACUCCGUGCCAGCAGCCGCGGUAAUACGGAGGAUCCGAGCGUUAUCCGGAUUUAUUGGGUUUAAAGGGAGCGUAGGCGGAUUAUUAAGUCAGUUGUGAAAGUUUGCGGCUCAACCGUAAAAUUGCAGUUGAUACUGGUAGUCUUGAGUGCAGCAGAGGUAGGCGGAAUUCGUGGUGUAGCGGUGAAAUGCUUAGAUAUCACGAAGAACUCCGAUUGCGAAGGCAGCUUACUGGACUGUAACUGACGCUGAUGCUCGAAAGUGUGGGUAUCAAACAGGAUUAGAUACCCUGGUAGUCCACACAGUAAACGAUGAAUACUCGCUGUUUG